ACAGUCACACUGGCUGCGUUCGGAACCGCAUACUUCCCUACUAUAUAGUAGGCAAAAAGCAGUAGGCGAGCGAAUAAGUAUGUUUGAAUCUUUCAUAUUCAUAAAAGAGUAGGCGAGAAUUAGUAGGCGAGUGCACUCAUUCUCGCGAGAUUUGGACGUACGUAUACUUAAUUUGCGUUCUAAUAUGCCUACUUACCUACUAUAUAGUAGGAAAAAAGAGUACGUGAAGAAAGAAGUACGUUCGAAUCCUAACAGAGUAGGCGAGGAAUCCCCGGAUGUCCUACUGCUUCAGACCAGAUUCUGGAGUGUUCAUCGAUGGAUACUUUUCAAUCCCAGGAAUCCACAGGAGAGCAAUACGUCAUAAUCGAACGUGAUUGAGAACCGCGACGAAGGUGUUUACAAAUGGACAGAUGAGACACACGUGUGUUUAUCCGGUGAAGAGUGACUGAUGAAGGAAUGCUGCCAAAGGCUUUCAACCUUUUGUGGUGGAACAGGUGUUGGCAGCGUUUGUGGGAAGAAAGGAAGACCUGAAACAAAAAUAUAAAACUGGUGUGAGCAGUGAGAAAGGAGAAAUCCACAGCAGCAUCCUGGAAAUGGUCCGGUGCCAUGGAUGAGACCCUCCAUCACUCCACCUGCCCUUACUGCCUCAUCUGGGCCAGAUUUUUCUGUGGCCUCUUCAUGUAGUCGAGCAGACACGGUGAUGGCCAGAUUGUCCCGCACAUGUUCUCCCAGUCUCGCCUCAAGGUUGUGGGGUUCAGUGGUGUGUCUUCAUGGUCUUUCUCAUCCUCUGGCUCAACAACAUCCAUAUUGAGAAGAGUGAGACUGUGAAGCACAGCACAGCAGAAGAAUUGGCACAGCUGCAUUGAGAUGGCAAUAGGAUGUGGGGUUCACCAACUGUAAAUACAUGAUUGUUAGAGCAAUAAGUUUGAAUAAAGCUCUGUUUCAUCUGUU
Molecule: long non-coding RNA, 951 nt
Organism: Labeo rohita (rohu)
Lineage: Eukaryota; Metazoa; Chordata; Actinopteri; Cypriniformes; Cyprinidae
Exons: 5
Source: RefSeq, a predicted model, not a curated record